This 77-nucleotide transfer RNA is filed under the name Caudoviricetes sp. Its description in RNAcentral is "tRNA-Met". It matches the Rfam family "tRNA". From Rfam's summary of the family: Transfer RNA (tRNA) molecules are approximately 80 nucleotides in length. Lineage: Duplodnaviria; Heunggongvirae; Uroviricota; Caudoviricetes. The record is from RNAcentral.
GGGCCUUUAGCUCAGUUGGUUAGAGCCUCCAGCUCAUAACUGGAAAGUCCACGGUUCGAUCCCGUGAAGGCCCACCA